This 483-nucleotide ribosomal RNA is filed under the name uncultured bacterium. RNAcentral describes it as "partial 16S ribosomal RNA". It matches the Rfam family "Bacterial small subunit ribosomal RNA", at positions 30 to 507 of the family's 1533-position model. The record is from RNAcentral.
UUGAACGCUGGCGGCAGGCCUAACACAUGCAAGUCGAGCGGAUGAAGGGAGCUUGCUCCUGGAUUCAGCGGCGGACGGGUGAGUAAUGCCUAGGAAUCUGCCUGGUAGUGGGGGAUAACGUCCGGAAACGGGCGCUAAUACCGCAUACGUCCUGAGGGAGAAAGUGGGGGAUCUUCGGACCUCACGCUAUCAGAUGAGCCUAGGUCGGAUUAGCUAGUUGGUGGGGUAAAGGCCUACCAAGGCGACGAUCCGUAACUGGUCUGAGAGGAUGAUCAGUCACACUGGAACUGAGACACGGUCCGGACUCCUACGGGAGGCAGCAGUGGGGAAUAUUGGACAAUGGGCGAAAGCCUGAUCCAGCCAUGCCGCGUGUGUGAAGAAGGUCUUCGGAUUGUAAAGCACUUUAAGUUGGGAGGAAGGGCAGUAAGUUAAUACCUUGCUGUUUUGACGUUACCAACAGAAUAAGCACCGGCUAACUUCGUG